This 20-nucleotide unclassified non-coding RNA is filed under the name Chlamydomonas reinhardtii. Its description in RNAcentral is "small RNA Cre_0376". The record is from RNAcentral. Lineage: Eukaryota; Viridiplantae; Chlorophyta; Chlorophyceae; Chlamydomonadales; Chlamydomonadaceae.
ACUCGUUGCUAAUGCUUUAG